AGAAUCAACGCUGGCGGCGUGCCUAACACAUGCAAGUCGAACGAGAAAGUGGAGCAAUCCAUGAGUAAAGUGGCGCACGGGUGAGUAACACGUGACUAACCUACCCUUGAGUGGGGGAUAACCUCGGGAAACCGGGGCUAAUACCGCAUAACAUCGAGAGAUCAAAGGAGCAAUUCGCUUAAGGAGGGGGUCGCGGCUGAUUAGCUAGUUGGUGAGGUAAUGGCUCACCAAGGCUAUGAUCAGUA
Molecule: ribosomal RNA, 245 nt
Filed under: uncultured bacterium
Lineage: Bacteria
Description: partial small subunit ribosomal RNA
Rfam family: Bacterial small subunit ribosomal RNA
Source: RNAcentral